Molecule: ribosomal RNA, 696 nt
Filed under: uncultured Bacteroidales bacterium
Lineage: Bacteria; Pseudomonadati; Bacteroidota; Bacteroidia; Bacteroidales
Description: bacterial SSU rRNA
Rfam family: Bacterial small subunit ribosomal RNA
Source: RNAcentral
AACGCUAGCUACAGGCUUAACACAUGCAAGUCGAGGGGAAACGACAUCGAAAGCUUGCUUUUGAUGGGCGUCGACCGGCGCACGGGUGAGUAACGCGUAUCCAACCUGCCCACCACUUGGGGAUAACCUUGCGAAAGUAAGACUAAUACCCAAUGACGUCUCUAGAAGACAUCUGAAAGAGAUUAAAGAUUUAUCGGUGAUGGAUGGGGAUGCGUCUGAUUAGCUUGUUGGCGGGGUAACGGCUCACCAAGGCAACGAUCAGUAGGGGUUCUGAGAGGAAGGUCCCCCACAUUGGAACUGAGACACGGUCCAAACUCCUACGGGAGGCAGCAGUGAGGAAUAUUGGUCAAUGGACGAGAGUCUAAACCAGCCAAGUAGCGUGCAGGAAGACGGCCCUAUGGGUUGUAAACUGCUUUUAUAAGGGAAUAAAGUGAGUCUCGUGAGGCUUUUUGCAUGUACCUUAUGAAUAAGGACCGGCUAAUUCCGUGCCAGCAGCCGCGGUAAUACGGAAGGUCCGGGCGUUAUCCGGAUUUAUUGGGUUUAAAGGGAGCGUAGGCCGGAGAUUAAGCGUGUUGUGAAAUGUAGACGCUCAACGUCUGCACUGCAGCGCGAACUGGUUUCCUUGAGUACGCACAAAGUGGGCGGAAUUCGUGGUGUAGCGGUGAAAUGCUUAGAUAUCACGAAGAACUCCGAUUG